UUUUUUGGGGCAAUUGCCUAUAUACCCCUGAAAAGUUUCCCGUUUUCUUAUUUACCCCUCUUAGAAGGCUAAUAUUGAAAAUACCCUUCUUAUGUUCCAAGUUUUUCUAAAAUACCCCUAGAGUUAAGUUCCGUUAGUGAGCUGCCGUUAGCUCUGAAAAAUUACCAUUUUGCCCAUUCCAAUAUACCCUUGUACCGUAACAAACUUUUCUUAUAUACCCUUCAUAUAGCAAAUACUUUUCUUAUUUACCCUUCAGCCGGAUCUGGAGCAGAAGGCGUGCAGGGGUCCGAUGGAGCUGCGGCCCUCUUGCUCCUGGCGCCGGCCAAGGCAGCGGAUGAGGAGAAGGACGGCGACGACGAGAGCGGCGGCGGAGGAGGACAACGAGACCGACGAGAUGGGUGGUGUUGGAGGUGGAGGUGUGGGAGGUGGUGGUGGUCUGAGAGGAGAUGAGGCGAGGAGGUGAGGUAGAGGCGGAGGAGCCGGCCGGUGGUGGCGGAGGAGUCGGCCGGUGGUGGCGACAAAAUUGAGGAAGAAAGAGAGGAUAAUCUUAGGAAUUACUAUAAUAAAGUAGGGGCAAAAUAGAUAUUUUGUUCAGGUUUUAACUCUAGUAUAGAUUUAACCCAUGUUUAACCCGAGUUAAGCUAACAGGGGAUAACUGCGGGGGUAUUUUGGAAUAACGGUGGAACGUAUGAGGGUCAUUUUAGAAAGAAAAAAAAGAUAGGAGUAGAUCGGAUAUUUCCGAACGCAUGAAGGGUAUAUAGGCAAUUAUCCCUAUUUUUUUAUA
RNAcentral lists this long non-coding RNA (784 nucleotides) under Ananas comosus (pineapple). RNAcentral's name for it is "long non-coding RNA (ACOM_LNC027680)". The record is from RNAcentral. Lineage: Eukaryota; Viridiplantae; Streptophyta; Magnoliopsida; Poales; Bromeliaceae.